AGAUGCUGCCGCCGCUCGGGAAAGCCCUGCGGUGCGAGCGGCUGGCCACGGCGCGGACAGUGCCGGCGCGGAGGCUGUGGCCGACGCUGUGGACGCUGCCGCCGCCGCUGCUACGGGCGCCACUGUUGUUGUGAAGCCCCGACGCCGCCGCUCACUCCGCCAUGUUGCCGCCCCCUGCCUGCGGUAGCGGCCACUGCGCCUGCGCAGAGGCUCCGGGGGCGGAGCCCUCGUGCGCCCCCCUCCGUCGCCCUGCCCUCCUUCUCCUUCCACCCGCCCGCCCCGGCACCCCUCGGCCCUCCCCCAACCACCCCGAACGGGGAGAAAGGAGGUUCGUCAUCCUCGCGGUUGCAUCCAGCUGCUGCUGCUGCCAGGGCCACGUGCCUCGUAAGGUAGGGGAGUGGCAGACGACCUCUUCCUGCGGUCCUGUCCGCCUGCCCCGCCUGGAAUUUCCCCAAGGAAAAGUGGCUGGCAAAGCAGAAAAACGCACCGGGAGGGACGAUUCUGCACGGCCCGGGAAGGAUUCAGAUGGAGGGUAACGGGGCUUUUUCCACAGCCAUGAAAGAGGCUGACACCUGCUCACACAGGCGCGAUUUAAAAUAGAACUUGUCAAACAGUGAUCCUCUCCGGAAAGGGCUCGGAACAACAAACAGCUCUUAAACUCACCUCCCAGCCUAAAAAAGCGGCUCUUUGUGACACUGCGCGGUAACUAGCUGGGAGCAACAGAUCAAAUCCUUUAAAAUUCCCCAACGAUCUUCAGAACCAGCAUCAUGUGGAUGACUUCAAAAUCUGCUGUAUUCAUGAGCUGUAUCUGGGCCCACUGAAAGCAAGGCUGCAGUGACUCACAACCAAAGCCAAGAAGCUGCUCAACGCCCUUCUACGCUGCUGUUGGCCGUCUAAAGGAACACUCCAAAGAGCUGACAAGAAUAAAACAUCACAGCCAAAGCCAGACUAAGUAAGAAGGACUCCAGCGGCCAGAUCAAGCGGAAGGAAACUCCUCAUGCAACAUAUACCCAACCAGGGCCGAUCACUACUCAACCUAUACUGAAGUUCUUCAUUUCGUUCAGAUCCUAUGUUCAUUCUGAUAUAGGAGGAAUACAACUCCCAACCUGCCAGAUGUCAGAUGUGCAGAGUUCAUGUCCUCUGAGAUUGAAGAAUGAAUUGCAAAG
This is a long non-coding RNA of Chinchilla lanigera (long-tailed chinchilla), 1166 nucleotides long. RefSeq lists it as uncharacterized. The transcript has 5 exons. The record is from RefSeq and is a predicted model, not a curated record. NCBI's taxonomy places the organism in Eukaryota, Metazoa, Chordata, Mammalia, Rodentia, Chinchillidae.